GUGGCGCGGUCGACUGAGAUCGGCAUUGAAGCACGUAGUUACGUGCACCUCUCGACCGGCAAUUACUGGAUGUAUCUUCGACCUACUUCAUCCUUCGUCUCCUUAAGUCCUCAUCAUCGUUUGGCCCUCCUUCCUUCCCUCUACCUUCCUCCAUCAUGGGGUGACGAUGGCGAUGAUACGCACCCUAGCUCUCACUCACAGGCGACGGCGGAGAAGGUGGGUGCGCCGUGCGCGCGAGUCGUCCCGUGGCCAAUAGGGUGAGGCCCUCCUGGUGGGGGAAGACCACAGUGAGUCUGCAGUGCAGCCAUGCAUCUCGCCAGCUCGGUAGUGUGCAGAUCCGACAUGUAUGUGAGGAACUAGGGAUUGGGUACUCUCUCCUCUCCUGCUCUCUUCGAGAUUACUACAGACUGAGACCACCGGAGGAGUUACCAUGGAUCUGAGUAGUUCCUUUUUCCUUCUCACCUAUGAGAAGGUCAACUAUGAGAAUGUUCCACAGAAGGCAAGAGACCGAUUCUUAUUCCUCUUACGCAAAUACUUUAUUUCUGUAUUGUUAGUUCCAAAAGUUUCUUAGACAAUUUUACGAUAUAUUUUGUAUGGUUACUGUCAAUGAUCAAACUAUCUUAUAAGCCUAUUAUGCAUUUAUGCCGCUGACAUGUCUCAUGAUCUAUGAAUGAUUGUCUUUCUUCUGUGGGAAACUGUACCUUAAGAAAAGAGGCUUCAAAUAUAUUUUAGGAUUCUGUGAAUUGUUAGUGCAUGGAGAUCUUACAUGGAGGUGCUUGUUCUCAUGCAUGCUAGCUUCUGCCCUAUGACUUAUAAUCAGAUAUUCUAUGGGCAUUGGGCCAAGAACUGUUGUUUUCUGUUCACUAUAGAAGGUUCUUUUCAAUUGCUACCAUUUGAGGUCAUAUUAGUGCUAAUUAUCUGAUGUGUUCUUGCAUUUCUUGUACUAUUAUUUUUAGUUUUCAGGGGCUGAAAGGUUAGUUUCCUUUUAUUAGAUAGUGCAGAAUGAUUCCUGAAAGCUUUUUUCACCAACCAGUUAAAGACUUGUAACAUGGUUAGUAAUACAAGAAGGUUUAUUGGAUGCCCACUUCCUGCAUGUGUGUGUUAUUAAAAGGCAUGUGUUAGAUAUACAGAUUUACUUAUCCAUGAAGACUUUGGCAAGCACAAUGUUCCCAAACUGAAUAGAACUAAAACUAGGCUUGCAAAUAAUUGUCUACCCUAGAUACCCGGAAGUUGUGUUGCCAAUUUAAUAAUUUUUCAUUCAUCUUAAAUCAAAUAUUUUGACAGGUGAGGACAAUUGUUCUACUUAUGUGCUCUCACACUUAAAUGAAGCAGCUAUCUGAAUUCCAUGAACUGUUUUUAGCUAAUUUUUGCCAUUAUAACUUGGAAUGUUCUUAUUUACUAUCAAACCUAAUUCCAUUUGGCUGGAGUUAACGAAGAUUUAGAGACUUCACCCUGUUUUAGCUCUGCCAUUAUGCACCUUGCGUGUAUACAAAGUAGAUAUAUGGUAUAUAUAAGUUUUCUAUCUAAGUUAAUUCCAAUCUAUGUAUUUUAUUCACACAUACAUUUAAGGGCUGGAGUUCUUGCGUUACUUAUUUGUAAGUGGGCUAUGUUCAGAAUUAGUGGCUUGUAAUUUUCUUUAUAUUGUUUCCAUCAAGGGAGUUGACUCUGAACUCUAUGUAUACUUUGAUUUAAAGAAAAUGGACAACUACUAAUAAGUUCAGCACCAGACUUGUUUUGUUAGCACACCCUCUACCUUACAUAGUUAUGUCCACAUAUGAAUGCUAAAUGAAGCGAUAAGUUCCUAAGUGAAGCUAAUUUAUUUCUCAUCAGGGUAUCCUGUUUUGUGGCCGACUG
Lolium perenne is the source of this 1854-nucleotide long non-coding RNA. RefSeq lists it as uncharacterized. The record is from RefSeq and is a predicted model, not a curated record. Lineage: Eukaryota; Viridiplantae; Streptophyta; Magnoliopsida; Poales; Poaceae.